CAUUAUUUUUAUACGACCGCAAAAUUUGAAAAAUUUUUCGUCGUAUAUUGCUAUCACGUUGGCGUCGUCGUCGUCGUCGUCCGGCGUCCGAAUACUUUUAGUUUUCGCACUCUAACUUUAGUAAAAGUGAAUGGAAAUCUAUGAAAUUUUAACACAAGGUUUAUGACCACAAAAGGAAGGUUGGUAUUGAUUUUGGGAGUUUUGGUCCCAACAUUUUAGGAAUUAGGGGCCAAAAAGGGCCC
This 242-nucleotide long non-coding RNA is filed under the name Mytilus galloprovincialis (Mediterranean mussel). Lineage: Eukaryota; Metazoa; Mollusca; Bivalvia; Mytilida; Mytilidae. The record is from RNAcentral.